CCAGACUUUUGCACUAGGGUUCUGAGGAGAGCAUUAAGUUCCUUGUUCUUGCAGUGCAGUCAUUUUAUGGCCUUUAUCACUUCAGCAACUCAGCCACCCAGUCCUCAGAAUUUGCUCCUUUUUGAAGGCUAUCCAGUGUUCCGCUGUGUAUAUAUCCACACUUUUCUUUGUUUAACCAUCAGCUUUAAUUUUGCCAUUUUUAUAAUGCUUAUGUUAGUAUUGGCCUGUAUUCCUUCCCUUCCAGUUACCACAUAUCAUAUCAUUGACAUAUGAAAAAUGCCAGGCUGGGGGCAUAGCUCAGUGGUACAGUUUCUACCUGGCAUGUGCCUAGAUUCAGAUUUUAUUCAUAAAAAGCACAAUGAAAAUGGGAUUUACAUACAUACAAUGUAGUAAUCUUUUCCUUUAUUUUAGUUUUUUUAAAAAUAACAUAAUUAGUAAGGUAAGUUCUAAUUUCCCUAUAAUCUGCAUGAGUUCUCUACUCCAGAAAUUCUCCAACACUCCAAAUCUGUGUCUGAUUUUUUUUUCUCAAACUCUUCAGCUACCUGAUCUUCACCUAUCCAGAGGAGUUUUGAUUUGAUGGAGCCCCUUAGAUUGGUCUAUGCACUUAUUCCUUUUACGAUCUCAAGCAUGGUAACAAGGAUAGUGACCUCAAGGACUGCCAUCCAGCAUUUGGUAGAUACCCAGUGCUGUCAACAUGGAGUUUCCACAAUGUGUAAGGUUUUCAAGUGUGACUAAGGAAUGGAAGUAUUGGACUAAGGAAUGAACACUUCUGUUCCUGUCCAAGGCUGCUGUGGGAGCCAUGCGGUGCUGUGCCUGCUGUGUCACUACCAGGCAUAGAAGAAGCAAGUGGAAAUGAAUCACAAAGACUUGCUCCAAGGCUACAGAAAGUCCGUGAAUCCAGGCACUGGGUAUAAUUGGUUGGAUUCCCUGAAAAAAGACCCAGAGAAGCCGCUGCAUGGAGCUGGAAAGAUGAAGCCCAAGUUACAGCAGAGGACCAGGAUAUUGGAGAGUCUAAAACUGCUUAUCCACUGAGGAAAGCUGCAAGAACACAGUGGAACAAGCCCAAGACAAAAGUGACAUGUGCUGUAGGUGGCAGAACUGGAGUGCUGGUACUACCCAAAUUUAGAGCUCAGAUGAUCCCGUCAUGAGUGCUUCAUGCUAGCUAUGGAGCCGUAGGAUUAGGUGUUGGUUGUAACUGGGGUUUUGUUUUGCUUUUUAAUCCAACCUUUCCUUGUUAUUCUCCCAUUCGUUCCUAUUUGGGGUGGGAAUGUUUCUUUGUUUUUGUGUAUUAGAAGUGUUCAGCUUGUGUCUUCAUGUCAUAGGUGCUCAAAAUGAAGAGAUGGUCUGGAGUCUCAGAAGAGACUGAUUUUUUUUUUUCAGAGCUGAGGACCGAACCCAGAGACUGAUUUUUUGAGCAGAGCUGUAACUGUUAAAGAGAGAGACCAAAUGAGACUUUAUGAACCAGGGUAGAAUAACUAAGGUGAUGUUUGAUGUCAGGUUUGCAGGAAGUAGAAUUAUAAUGAUUAAUUUUCAUUGCCAAUUUAAUAGGAUUUAGAAUCACCUAAGAGACAGCUCUGUGCUUAUAUGUAAGUGCAGAUCUAGACAGAUUUACCAUAGAAGGGAAAUUUUCCCUUAAAUGUUGUGACAUCCUAUGAACUGGGGUCCCAGACAGAAUAAAAAGGGGAACUGAGAGAAGUACCAGCAUUCAUUUCUUUAUGCCAUCUACCAAGUGUCAGGUGAGCGCAUUUCUGUUGGUCUGUUUAUGGGUUCUCUGUUCAUUUCUGGUUUAUGUCUUACACUACCCCAGCAGCAAAUCUCAAUAGCCUUUGUAUAAUAAACAUUAAUAUUUGGUAGAGUGAUUA
Rattus rattus (black rat) is the source of this 1862-nucleotide long non-coding RNA. RefSeq lists it as uncharacterized. The record is from RefSeq and is a predicted model, not a curated record. The transcript has 5 exons. NCBI's taxonomy places the organism in Eukaryota, Metazoa, Chordata, Mammalia, Rodentia, Muridae.